GACGAACGCUGGCGGCGUGCUUAACACAUGCAAGUCGAACGAAGAGCGAUGGAAGCUUGCUUCUAUCAAUCUUAGUGGCGAACGGGUGAGUAACGCGUAAUCAACCUGCCCUUCAGAGGGGGACAACAGUUGGAAACGACUGCUAAUACCGCAUACGAUCUAAUCUCGGCAUCGAGGAUAGAUGAAAGGUGGCCUCUACAUGUAAGCUAUCACUGAAGGCGGGGAUUGCGUCUGAUUAGCUAGUUGGAGGGGUAACGGCCCACCAAGGCGAUGAUCAGUAGCCGGUCGGAGAGGAUGAGCGGCCACAUUGGGACUGAGACACGGCCCAGACUCCUACGGGAGGCAGCAGUGGGGAAUCUUCCGCAAUGGACGAGAGUCUGACGGAGCAACGCCGCGUGAGUGAUGACGGCCUUCGGGUUGUAAAGCUCUGUUAAUCGGGACGAAAGGCCUUCUUGCGAAUAGUGAGAAGGAUUGACGGUACCGGAAUAGAAAGCCACGGCUAACUACGUG
Molecule: ribosomal RNA, 510 nt
Filed under: uncultured bacterium
Lineage: Bacteria
Description: partial 16S ribosomal RNA
Rfam family: Bacterial small subunit ribosomal RNA
Source: RNAcentral